This is a long non-coding RNA of Eptesicus fuscus (big brown bat), 683 nucleotides long. RefSeq lists it as uncharacterized. The record is from RefSeq and is a predicted model, not a curated record. The transcript has 4 exons. Lineage: Eukaryota; Metazoa; Chordata; Mammalia; Chiroptera; Vespertilionidae.
GGCCGGGGCCGGUGGCCUCGUGGGCGCGGAGCCCGCGGUCAGUGCUGCGGGCGGGGCUGGAGUCCGGCCGCCCGGCCCGCCGUCGCCUCGUGAGGAAGGGCAUCGUCCCGGUCGCGUGCCGCGGUCCUUUCGGGGCGGCUCCCGCCCGGGGCGAGUUCCGCGGGACCCAACUCCAAAAGGAGGGACCCGAGCAGAAACCGUUAACCUUGGAAACCACGCGGCUUGUUCACAAUCUCUUGGAGCUGUGCUACCAGGGCACACCUGUGAACAAGUCAAGACUAGGGUCUCAUGUAAUUUACGUGGAAGAAGACAAAGACCAGAAUGUGGCGGUGCCAGCAGAGAAUGUGGAGUAUGUUCAGCUGUUCCAGGCCCCAAACACCCUUCUUUUGCUUCUGUGACUUGUUUCCUGAACCUCUGGCUGGCUCACUCCUGCUACCUCUGUAACUUUUUAAAAAAACAUCUUUUAAUUGAUUUCGGAGAGGAAGAGAGAGAGAGAAACAUCAAUGAUGAGAAUCAUCCAUCGCUGCCUCCUGCAUGCCCCAUACUGGGGAUCGAACCUGCAGCCGGGACACGUGCCCUUGACCAGAAUCGAAGUGUGACCUCCUGUUUCCUAGAUCGAUGCUCAACCACUGAGCCACGCCAGCUGGCCUGUAACUUUCUAAAUACACUUUCUCUUAAAAAGC